GAAAAGUGAAAACACUAAUCUGACCAAUAAAUGUCACUAUCCAAAUACGUAAGGCAAGGUUAAUAAAAAAACAUGUAUCUAUCAACUACUGUUUUGCACCAGAAUCUAGAAACUCAAUUUACCAAAUGAAAGAAUCUAGAACUCACUAGCUAGAGAAUACCUCUUUUGUCGUUUCCUUAUAUCAUUAAAGAUCAGAUUCACUCAAAGUGAAUGGUUCCCAUAUACGAACAUAGAGUGAGCUCUAAUAUGAUACUUAAGAUAGCUUCCAAAGACCAUGACUUACAUUUAAAUUGACAGAAUUGGGGGUCUGGCUCCGUGCAUAAAAGUCCUCUAGAUUGAACAAACUUACCGCUUAGUCCAAAGCUUAAUCUUGUAGUGUCAUUUUUAGACAAUUUAUUCUCCAUUUUGAUCUCUAAUUUAAUUUUAUCUUUGUUGCCAUUCCUUUGAUUGGUCAACACGUGACAGGGAACCCUACCUGAAAAAAUAUCUCUCAGCUAAGAAAGAUACAUCUAUACAUAAACAUAAGUAGGCAUGGGUUCUUAUGCUUUCAAAAGGACACAGACGGAGUUAAUUUAAUUGGCAAAGUCGUCUAUUUGCAUAACAGUUGGCAAGCUCGUCUACUUGCAUAACAGUAGACUUUGUUAAUUAGACCACCAAAUAUGUGAUCUACAGCAAACCUCCUUCGGAAGUCAUCUACUGAGAAAAUGAAAGGCGAAGAGAGACAAAGAAGACCGUUUACUUAAUAAAUGUGAUGAUGUAUGUUGGUACUAUAAAUCAACUUUCUGUCAAUUGAAACUACUUGUUUCACAAUGACUUUUACCAACUUUCUGACUAUCCAAACAACAUGACCGGCAAUCAAGCUCUCUAUUUCCCAUUUCGUAUCGAAGAAUUGAUCAUCUUCCAACAUCUAAAGCAUCAAUAUUAUGUGUUUUUGGGGUUUCGUUUCUUUUAUUUUCUUUGCAGACUUGGUUGAAUGAUCAAUAGACGUUUUUAUUGACAGAAGAUAGAGAGCACAACUGAGCAUACACUGAGGAAAAGCUUGUGUUUGAGCAGUUUUGUGCUCUCUUUUCUUCUGUCAAUGCAACUUUCAUUGAUGCGUUCUGCUAUCUCUCUAUCUUGAACACUAAGGUAAGGCAUAUAUGCAUAUGAAAAAUUAUGUCGUAUUAGCUUUUUCUUCUCUCUUCUGACGUCCACCAUGAAGAUUUCCUGCUGAACAGGUUCAUCAAGAUCCACUUGUCAAUGGAGAUAAAAGGGAUGAUACUAGCAAUAUCUUCAUGCAACUUAUGAUGGUUUCAAGUAUCAUAAAGAGCAACUUGACUAAAGUUCACCAUGUACGAAGUUCUGUUUCUUUCUUUCAUGAAAAAAUCUAUAGCACUUGAUAAAAAAAGACAAUUUUUGCAAAAUUACAGAAGAAACUGUGCUGAAAUGGUCAAAAAGUUUUAACCCUUUUUCAACUACUUUCACGUAAGAGUUACUUUUUAUCUUUUCAAAUGAAAAUCUUAAAUUAGUUGCUAUCUAAUAGAACAAGAAAAAGGAAUUGGCUGAAACAGUUCUAAAAUGAUUAUAUCUAUGUUGCAGGAUCAAGCUCAAGGUCUAUUCCUUUCAUUCUUAAUUAAGAGAAAAAGAUGUCUAAAACAGAGUUCUCCUUUACUCUGUACACACUCCAAAUUUGUCAAAGAAACUAAAUUAAUACAAGUUGAUUAAUCUAAUCUGCACAAUCGACGUGGUCUUAAUUAAUUCUUUUUUCAAUAGUUACAAAAUCUCCAUUGGCCCCACUUUCCAUUUGAGAUCAGAGAACCAAUCCAUUUUUAACAAUGCUUAAUAUUCUAUAACCUAAACAAGGAUAUAUAAAUCCCUCAUAACUCGAGAAAGUGGAAAUGGUUGAACAGUGAAUGCAUGCAUAAUGCAUAGAAGUGCUUAGGCUAUUCAAAUAAUACAUUAAUAUGGACCACUAUAUAUAAACAUACUGUUCACUAGCAUUUCCAUAUUUUAUAAUAAGUAUACAAAUUGAUUCAAUGAACUAAUAGGAUUUAGGAUGAACCUUAUUCUCAUUUACAUGUUUCAAUACCACUAGUAGACAAAUCCUGCUUGUCCUAGUUUUUCUUUCUUUACACUUUUUUUUUUUGUUUUUUUGGGGGGACAUAACUCCCAUGCUUCUUCGAAAGCCUAACGCAGAAUAAAUGUGAUAUUUGAUGGUUGGAACCCAAAUUACAAUUUAAUAAUUGUUUCUCAUACAAAAUACUUUCUAUCCAUUAUCCCUUUUUUUUUGUCAAAAA
Long non-coding RNA from Ziziphus jujuba (common jujube), 2276 nucleotides. RefSeq lists it as uncharacterized. The record is from RefSeq and is a predicted model, not a curated record. Lineage: Eukaryota; Viridiplantae; Streptophyta; Magnoliopsida; Rosales; Rhamnaceae. The transcript is spliced from 2 exons.